Mirounga angustirostris (Northern elephant seal) is the source of this 3226-nucleotide long non-coding RNA. RefSeq lists it as uncharacterized. The record is from RefSeq and is a predicted model, not a curated record. NCBI's taxonomy places the organism in Eukaryota, Metazoa, Chordata, Mammalia, Carnivora, Phocidae. The transcript is spliced from 3 exons.
GGAAGGACUAGCAGUCUCUAGGGUGGGGGUGGGGGAGUACCUGCUGGGGCCACAGCCUGAAAAACGGGAAAUCUCUGAGUUUGGGUAAAAUUACUUCAAUUGCUGGGUAUCAUAGCCAAGAGUAUAUAAAAGAAUUCAUAUCCCUGCCUGGGUGAGAAAUAAUGUGAGCCCAGGGCCACCCUUAAGGGAGAGAACUUGGGGAGGAGACUGGAGAGAAUACUUAAGAAAAAAUGACUUUGAGGGAAAGAAUUCGGGCUUUAGAAGCAAAAGGGCUCAAGUUAGAAUCUGAGCCCACCUGCUGCAAAAGCAAAGCUCCCAGGGCAGCCUUGUUCAUUUAUUCGCCACAUGUUCAUUGAUAGCCUACCCUGUGCCAGGCACUGUUUGAGGCUCUGCAAUAUUUCAAAGAUCCUUGCCUUCGAGGACCUUAUAUCCUAGCUGGGAGAUGGGCAUAAUACAUCAGUAAAUUAUAUUUAUGUUAGAAGGUAGUAAGUGUUAUGGGGGGAAAGUUCAUGAAAAGGUGAUCUAGAUUGGGGGGGUGUGGAGGUUGCCAUUUUAAGUAGAGGGUCAGGUUAGACCUCUUUUGGAAGAGGAGAAUUUGAACUAAGACCUGCAGGGGUGAAGAAAUUGACAAGGUAGGUAUCAGAGAGCAGCCAGCAAGCAGGCAAGCCAGAGUCUGAAGGGCCCAAGGGGGGGUCAAUGGACUGGAGGGAUCCAGGGAGAGCAGAAGCAGGUGAGGCCUGAGUGGGAAUGGGGAAAGGCACAGACUCCAUGGGGCCCCAUAGACCUUUAUAUAGGUUUUGGUUUUCUCUGGAAAUAAAAUGGGGAACCUGGCCAAAUUUCCAGUGAGGGAAAACAUGAUCAGACAAAUGUUUCAAAGGAUCACUGUUGCUCCUAUAGAGAGAAUAGACUGGGGCUGGGGGAGGGAAGUAGGGGAGAGGUGAGAGAAGAAGCAGGGAGCAGGGAGAUCCGGUAGUUGCUGAAUCUAGCUGAGUCUCAAUGUUCUCAUUUGUCAAAUGGGAAUAAAAAUGUGUCCCAGAAUGUGUGCAAUAAAAGUUUUGUGUGUAUGUCUCCAGCCUUUAGCAGAUGCAAUUCAACGAAGUCUCACUGAGUGAAAAAAUGAAUGAUUAUCUUUCCAUGCCCUCCUCACUUACAUAACUCCUAUCCCAAGCCCUGAAACAGCUCCUUGGAAGGUUCUAAAAACCAACAAACAUGGAUUCUUUUUUUUUUUUUAAUAUUUUAUUUAUUUAUUUGGCAGUGAGAGAGGGAACACAAGCAGGGGGAGUGGGAGAGGGAGAAGCAGGCCUCCUGCCGAGCAGAGAUCCUGAUGCAGAGAUCCUGAUGCGGGGCUCGACCCCAGGACCCUGGGAUCAUGACCUGAGCCGAAGGCAGAUGCCUAACGACUGAACCACCCAGGCACCCCAACACACAUGGAUUCUCAUCCCAAUUAGCCACUCUUCUUCAUCUGUAAAAUGGGGAUAAUAUUAUCUACUCCCCAGGUCGUAAGCACAAGCCCCAGCUCAAUCCCAAAUGAAAUGAGGCCACCGUGAGAAACCGGGUCCGGCUUUGCAUCUCAUUUACAUAAAUAUUUAUUAAUCGUCGUUAAACUGAACAGAAACACGCAAUGCACUUCGGGUGUCCGACGGGAGUUUCAUCUUCGCUACAAGAGGAAGGGCCUCUUCUUCAGGGAAUGGAAGCAGCCGACUGGACCGGGAUCGGAGUGUGUGUGAGGGCUGGUGGAGGGGGUAGGAGGCGGUGGGUUCCGGCAGCUGGCAAUCUUCGGGAGCAGCCUCAGCUGGCACCUCGGGGGGCACCAGGCAGUGGCCAGAGCAGGGGGUCUCCAGGUGCCCGGGGCUGAGGCUGCCCCCACUGUGGGCUGCCUGCUUGCUCACUCUUUUCAACAACAUCCUACCUGAGGGCGCCCGAGGGCAGAGACGCCGCUGUACUCAUGUCUGCCACCAGAGGGCAGCCUCCACACAUGGAUUUCUGCUCCCCAGCCCUCUCUGGUCCCCCUGUGUGGGUCCCAACUGGGCUGGAGAGAAACCCGGUCCAAGGCGGAGCAACAGAGAAGCCUGGUCCAGUGCAUGCAAGCAAUCUUCUACUCACCCAUCUUGAAUGUAUUAAAGGCAGCCGUAAAGAGUGAGAGCUCUGGAAUCAGACUGUUUUCUUGUGAACCCAGUGAACCCUCUGGGCAAAAGGGUCAAUUGCCUAAUCUGUAAAAUGGAAUGAGCCUCAUUUACCUAAUCUGUAAAAUGGAAUGAUACUAAUGAGGCUUAAAUGAGAUCAUACAUAUAAAAGGCCUAGCUCAGGGCCCAACACAAAGUAAAUGCUCCAUAUAUGUCACCCAUUGACAAUUUCUAUGACUUGCGUAUUCAUCCAUCCAUUCAUUCCUCAGUCCAUCCCUCUCGGCCUGUAGCACCUCCUGUAUACUGGGCCCUCUGGCAGGCAGGUGAUGGUGCAAAGACAAAUGGUGGGAAGGACACUUCUCAAAACAGUGUGUUGAGUUAUGAUACACCCACUGAACAGGGAGGGAAGGUUGACUUGGAUGGGCAAAAGAGAACGUUUUGGGGUGAUGAAAAUGUUCUAUAUCUGUGUUGUGGUAUACUCAUAUGUUGUUUAAAAUUCUCAAAAACUCAUAGAAAUGCAUAUCUUGGGGGCACCUGGGUGGUUCAGUCGGUUAGGUGACCGACUCUUGAUAUGACCUCAGGUCUUAUCUCAGGGUCCUGGUUCAAGCCCUAAAUUGGGCUCUGCGCUGGGAGUGGAACUUACUUAAAAAAAAAAAAAAAAAGGAGGGGUGCCUGGGUGGCUCAGUCGUUAAGCGUCCACCUUUGGUUCAGGUCAUGAUCCCAUAGUCCUGGGAUCGAGCCCCACAUGGGGCUCCCUGCUCAGCAGGAAGCCUGCUUCUCCCUCUCCCACUCCCCCUGCUCGUGUUUCCUCUCUCAUUGUGUCUCUCUCUGUCAAAUAAAUAAAUAAAAUCUUAAAAAAAAAAGGAAAGAAAAGACAAGAAAAGAAGGAAAGAAAUAUAUAUAUUUGAUGGGGGGGGGGCAGAGAGAGAGGGAGAGAGAAACUCAAGCAGACUCCGCAAUGAGCGUGGGGCCAGAAGCAAGGCUCCAUCCCACAACCUGAGAUCUCGACCUGAGCUGAAACCAAAAGUCCAAGACUUAACCGACUGUACCACCUAGGAGCCCCUAAAUGUAUAUUUUGAAAUGGUACAUUUUAUUGUAUAAAA